RNAcentral lists this ribosomal RNA (424 nucleotides) under uncultured Prevotella sp. RNAcentral's name for it is "bacterial SSU rRNA". It matches the Rfam family "Bacterial small subunit ribosomal RNA", at positions 355 to 776 of the family's 1533-position model. The record is from RNAcentral. Lineage: Bacteria; Pseudomonadati; Bacteroidota; Bacteroidia; Bacteroidales; Prevotellaceae.
UGAGGAAUAUUGGUCAAUGGACGUGAGUCUGAACCAGCCAAGUAGCGUGCAGGAUGACGGCCCUAUGGGUUGUAAACUGCUUUUGUGCGGGGAUAAAGUGUGCCACGUGUGGCAUAUUGCAGGUACCGCAUGAAUAAGGACCGGCUAAUUCCGUGCCAGCAGCCGCGGUAAUACGGAAGGUCCGGGCGUUAUCCGGAUUUAUUGGGUUUAAAGGGAGCGUAGGCCGGAGAUUAAGCGUGUUGUGAAAUGCCGCGGCUCAACCGUGGCACUGCAGCGCGAACUGGUUUUCUUGAGUGCGCGCGACGCAGGCGGAAUUCGUGGUGUAGCGGUGAAAUGCUUAGAUAUCACGAGGAACCCCGAUUGCGAAGGCAGCUUGCGGGAGCGCAACUGACGCUGAAGCUCGAAGGUGCGGGUAUCGAACAGG